CAGCCGCCGCGGUAAUGCGGAGGGAGCUAGCGUUGUUCGGAAUUACUGGGCGUAAAGCGCACGUAGGCGGCUACUCAAGUCGGGGGUGAAAGCCCGGGGCUCAACCCCGGAACUGCCCUCGAAACUAGGUAGCUAGAAUCUUGGAGAGGUCAGUGGAAUUCCGAGUGUAGAGGUGAAAUUCGUAGAUAUUCGGAAGAACACCAGUGGCGAAGGCGACUGACUGGACAAGUAUUGACGCUGAGGUGCGAAAGCGUGGGGAGCAAACAGGAUUAGAUACCCCCGUAGUCCCUGUCUCUUAUAC
This 301-nucleotide ribosomal RNA is filed under the name uncultured bacterium. RNAcentral's name for it is "partial 16S ribosomal RNA". It matches the Rfam family "Bacterial small subunit ribosomal RNA", at positions 509 to 807 of the family's 1533-position model. The record is from RNAcentral.